This 253-nucleotide ribosomal RNA is filed under the name uncultured bacterium. Its description in RNAcentral is "partial 16S ribosomal RNA". It matches the Rfam family "Bacterial small subunit ribosomal RNA", at positions 524 to 776 of the family's 1533-position model. The record is from RNAcentral.
UACGUAGGGGGCAAGCGUUGUCCGGAAUCAUUGGGCGUAAAGCGCGUGUAGGCGGCUAGGUAAGUCUGCUCUGAAAGCCCGGGGCUCAACCCCGGGAGGCGGGUGGAUACUGUCUAGCUCGAGUCCGGAAGAGGAGUGUGGAAUUCCUGGUGUAGCGGUGAAAUGCGCAGAUAUCAGGAGGAACACCAGUGGCGAAGGCGACUCUUUGGUCUGUAACUGACGCUGAGGCGCGAAAGCGUGGGGAGCAAACAGG